UUAAGUUCAGCGGGUAGUCUCACCCGAUUUGAGGUCAAGGGUUCGUGAGGUUGAGAGCGUCGGGAGACGUGCUCAAACGUUGUCUCAUAGAGACGGUUAGAAGCGGGUCCCAAAAGCAACAGAGCCAGAAACCAAGACAUGGAAACAUCUUAUCACAUGUCGAGGACCAGCAAAGAGGACCCCGCUAAUUCAUUUAAGAG
This 200-nucleotide unclassified non-coding RNA is filed under the name Lactarius sp. (in: basidiomycete fungi). RNAcentral describes it as "Lactarius sp. (in: Russulaceae) partial internal transcribed spacer 2". The record is from RNAcentral. Lineage: Eukaryota; Fungi; Basidiomycota; Agaricomycetes; Russulales; Russulaceae.